CACCUCUAGCAUUACCAGUAUUAGAGGCACUGCCUGCCCAGUGACAUUAGUUUAACGGCCGCGGUAUCCUGACCGUGCAAAGGUAGCAUAAUCAUUUGUUCCUUAAUUAGGGACUUGUAUGAAUGGCUCCACGAGGGUUUAACUGUCUCUUACUUUUAAUCAGUGAAAUUGACCUUCCCGUGAAGAGGCGGGAAUAAAAAAAUAAGACGAGAAGACCCUAUGGAGCUUAAAUUAAAUUAUCUAAUAAAUUAAAACUUAAUCCAAUAGGCAUAACAAUAUAUUUAACUAGAUAACAAAUUUUGGUUGGGGUGACCUCGGAGUAUAACCUAACCUCCGAGCUAUAUAAACUAAGACUUACCUGUCAAAGUGAAAUAACUUAUUGAUCCAAUCUUAUUGAUCAACGGAAUAAGUUACCCUAGGGAUAACAGCGCAAUCCUAUUUAAGAGUUCAUAUCGACAAUAGGGUUUACGACCUCGAUGUUGGAUCAGGACACCCAAAUGGUGCAGCAGCUAUUAAAGGUUCGUUUGUUCAACG
Molecule: ribosomal RNA, 534 nt
Filed under: Suncus etruscus (white-toothed pygmy shrew)
Lineage: Eukaryota; Metazoa; Chordata; Mammalia; Eulipotyphla; Soricidae
Description: partial 16S ribosomal RNA
Rfam family: Bacterial large subunit ribosomal RNA
Source: RNAcentral